RNAcentral lists this ribosomal RNA (259 nucleotides) under uncultured Burkholderiales bacterium. RNAcentral's name for it is "partial 16S ribosomal RNA". It matches the Rfam family "Bacterial small subunit ribosomal RNA", at positions 524 to 782 of the family's 1533-position model. The record is from RNAcentral. Lineage: Bacteria; Pseudomonadati; Pseudomonadota; Betaproteobacteria; Burkholderiales.
UACGUAGGGUGCAAGCGUUAAUCGGAAUUACUGGGCGUAAAGCGUGCGCAGGCGGUUUUGUAAGACAGUGGUGAAAUCCCCGGGCUCAACCUGGGAACUGCCAUUGUGACUGCAAGGCUAGAGUGCGGCAGAGGGGGAUGGAAUUCCGCGUGUAGCAGUGAAAUGCGUAGAUAUGCGGAGGAACACCGAUGGCGAAGGCAAUCCCCUGGGCCUGCACUGACGCUCAUGCACGAAAGCGUGGGGAGCAAACAGGAUUAGA